UACGAAGGGGGCUAGCGUUGCUCGGAAUCACUGGGCGUAAAGCGCACGUAGGCGGAUCUUUAAGUCAGGGGUGAAAUCCCAAGGCUCAACCUUGGAACUGCCUUUGAUACUGGGGAUCUCGGGUCCGGAAGAGGUUGGUGGAACUGCGAGUGUAGAGGUGAAAUUCGUAGAUAUUCGCAAGAACACCAGUGGCGAAGGCGGCCAACUGGUCCGGUACUGACGCUGAGGUGCGAAAGCGUGGGGAGCAAACAGG
This 253-nucleotide ribosomal RNA is filed under the name uncultured bacterium. Its description in RNAcentral is "partial 16S ribosomal RNA". It matches the Rfam family "Bacterial small subunit ribosomal RNA", at positions 524 to 776 of the family's 1533-position model. The record is from RNAcentral.